UUGACCUCGGAUCANGUAGGGAUACCCGCUGAACUUAAGCAUAUCAAUAAGCGGAGGAA
This 59-nucleotide ribosomal RNA is filed under the name fungal sp. mh3154.2. RNAcentral's name for it is "partial 28S ribosomal RNA". It matches the Rfam family "Eukaryotic large subunit ribosomal RNA", at positions 1 to 58 of the family's 3401-position model. Lineage: Eukaryota; Fungi. The record is from RNAcentral.